CGGAACGGGUGGGUAACGCGUGAGGAACCUGCCUCAAAGAGGGGGACAACAGUUGGAAACGACUGCUAAUACCGCAUAAGCCCACGGCUCGGCAUCGAGCAGAGGGAAAAGGAGCAAUCCGCUUUGAGAUGGCCUCGCGUCCGAUUAGCUAGUUGGUGAGGUAACGGCCCACCAAGGCGACGAUCGGUAGCCGGACUGGGAGGUUGAACGGCCACAUUGGGACUGAGACACGGCCCAG
RNAcentral lists this ribosomal RNA (238 nucleotides) under uncultured bacterium. Its description in RNAcentral is "partial 16S ribosomal RNA". It matches the Rfam family "Bacterial small subunit ribosomal RNA", at positions 100 to 334 of the family's 1533-position model. The record is from RNAcentral.